GAUGAACGCUGGCGGCGUGCCUAAUACAUGCAAGUCGAGCGAAGCGGGGACGGGUGAGUAACACGUGGAUAACCUCCUAUAAGACUGGGAUAACUUCGGGAAACCGGAGCUAAACCGGUUACUUACAGUUUGAUCCGCGCUGCAUUAGCUAGUGGGUAAGGUAACGGCUUACCAAGGCAACGAUGCAUAGCCGACCUGAGAGGGUGAUCGGCCACACUGGGACUGAGACACGGUCCAGACUCCUACGGGAGGCAGCAGUAGGGAAUAUUCCGCAAUGGGCGAAAGCCUGACGGAGCAAUGCCGCGUGUGUGAUGAAGGUCUUCGGAUCGUAAAGCACUGUUAGUAGGGAGGCGGUACCUAAUCAGAAAGCAACGGCUAACUACGUGCCAGCAGCCGCGGUAAUAC
Molecule: ribosomal RNA, 405 nt
Filed under: uncultured bacterium
Lineage: Bacteria
Description: partial 16S ribosomal RNA
Rfam family: Bacterial small subunit ribosomal RNA
Source: RNAcentral